Molecule: ribosomal RNA, 464 nt
Filed under: Candida tropicalis
Lineage: Eukaryota; Fungi; Ascomycota; Pichiomycetes; Serinales; Debaryomycetaceae
Description: eukaryotic LSU rRNA
Rfam family: Eukaryotic large subunit ribosomal RNA
Source: RNAcentral
UAUCUUUGGGUCUGGCUCUUGUCUAUGUUUCUUGGAACAGAACGUCACAGAGGGUGAGAAUCCCGUGCGAUGAGAUGAUCCAGGCCUAUGUAAAGUUCCUUCGAAGAGUCGAGUUGUUUGGGAAUGCAGCUCUAAGUGGGUGGUAAAUUCCAUCUAAAGCUAAAUAUUGGCGAGAGACCGAUAGCGAACAAGUACAGUGAUGGAAAGAUGAAAAGAACUUUGAAAAGAGAGUGAAAAAGUACGUGAAAUUGUUGAAAGGGAAGGGCUUGAGAUCAGACUUGGUAUUUUGUAUGUUACUUCUUCGGGGGUGGCCUCUACAGUUUAUCGGGCCAGCAUCAGUUUGGGCGGUAGGAGAAUUGCGUUGGAAUGUGGCACGGCCUCGGUUGUGUGUUAUAGCCUUCGUCGAUACUGCCAGCCUAGACUGAGGACUGCGGUUUAUACCUAGGAUGUUGGCAUAAUGAUCU